RNAcentral lists this ribosomal RNA (235 nucleotides) under uncultured bacterium. RNAcentral describes it as "partial 16S ribosomal RNA". It matches the Rfam family "Bacterial small subunit ribosomal RNA", at positions 96 to 334 of the family's 1533-position model. The record is from RNAcentral.
UGGCGGACGGGUGAGUAAUGUCUGGGAAACUGCCUGAUGGAGGGGGGUAACUACUGGAAACGGUAGCUAAUACCGCAUAACGUCGCAAGACCAAAGAGGGGGACCUUCGGGCCUCUUGCCAUCGGAUGUGCCCAGAUGGGAUUAGCUAGUAGGUGGGGUAAUGGCUCACCUAGGCGACGAUCCCUAGCUGGUCUGAGAGGAUGACCAGCCACACUGGAACUGAGACACGGUCCAG